GGGAUGAACGGUUUUACAAUAUAAAUCUUUUUUUUUAAAAAAAAAGUUAAAUUUAUAGUUUAAGUAAGAAUACUUAAAUAAUAAAAAGGGACGAUAAGACCCUGAAAGCUUGAUGCUAUGUUUUGUUAAUUUAGUUUUUGUUAUAAAAGUAAAAAUUUGUAAUUAGCUGGGGAAGUUUUUAUAUAAAAUCUGUAAUUUUAUUGUACUUAGGUUUUAUGAUCCGCUAGAUAGUGAUAAGUAGAGUGAGUUACUUCAGGGAUAACAGCAUAAUAAUUUUGUAGAGUUCUUAUCGAUAAAAUUGACUGUGACCUCGAUGUUGAAUUAAGAGUUCUAGCUAAGGAAAAAUGUAGUUUAGAUGG
RNAcentral lists this ribosomal RNA (359 nucleotides) under Crangonyx sp. 1 TRS-2023a. Its description in RNAcentral is "partial large subunit ribosomal RNA". Lineage: Eukaryota; Metazoa; Arthropoda; Malacostraca; Amphipoda; Crangonyctidae. The record is from RNAcentral.